RNAcentral lists this ribosomal RNA (447 nucleotides) under uncultured bacterium. Its description in RNAcentral is "bacterial SSU rRNA". It matches the Rfam family "Bacterial small subunit ribosomal RNA", at positions 29 to 523 of the family's 1533-position model. The record is from RNAcentral.
AGCGAACGCUGGCGGCAGGCCUAACACAUGCAAGUCGAGCGGCCGUAGCAAUACGGCAGCGGCAGACGGGAGAGUAACACGUGGGAACGUGCCCUUUGGUUCGGAAUAACGCAGGGAAACUUGCGCUAAUACCGGAUAAGCCCUUACGGGGAAAGAUUUAUCGCCAAUGGAGCGGCCCGCGUCUGAUUAGCUAGUUGGUGAGGUAACGGCUCACCAAGGCUACGAUCAGAGCUGAUCUGAGAGGAUGAUCAGCCUCACUGGGACUGAGACACGGCCCAGACUCCUACGGGAGGCAGCAGUGGGGAAUAUUGGACAAUGGGCGCAAGCCUGAUCCAGCCAUGCCGCGUGGAUGAUGAAGGCCUUAGGGUUGUAAAGUCCUUUAGCGGGAAGAUAAUGACGGUACCGCAGAAAACGCCCCGGCUAACUUCGUGCCAGCCGCCGCGGUAA